UAUAGGUGUUAACCUACAGGUGUGAUGCUUUGUUGCUAUUCUUUCGCCUUCUGUUUGUGCUGUUAAAACCAUGUUAUGCUUAUUAAUUUCACAAAGACAUAAUAGUCAUAGGAUUUCCUUUACAGACUCAGGUUUAGCUAGUAAUUUAACUUGUGAUGUGAAAUAAAGAUGUUAAAAGCAGCCUCCUACAGCAGAUCUGGGCCUCCCUCCAGCUGAGGUGCUGGUGCACAGCCUGAGGAUUAAGGGUUUCAUCCCAGGUUCAGGGAUGUGUCUGUCACUUUCCUGUGGGCAGGUUCAACCAGAAGUGAAGCUGAGCAUGUAUCCCAAAGAUGUAGACACACAUGGACACAGAGUGGGUAAGGUGGGAAGUGACCCCACUGGUGUCAUCUGCUCUAACCUCCCUGCUCAGUGAGGGAAUGAAGGAGUACAUUUGAGCCAAGAAAAAAGAGGAUCUAGAGAAAGUUUCCAUGCAGGAAGGAAGGAAGGAAGACGUGCUGGUGAGCCGUUUCCUGUUCAUCUUCCAUUCUAUUUUUAGAGAAGUCCUUAAUGCUGACCAUCUCAAAGGAAACAACUGAAAAGAUAGGAAAACCAACAACAUGGCAAUAAGAAGCUUUCUUCCUUUACAAGAAAGUUGAUGAAAAUAAUGCAUAAAUUUUCAUGACACAACUAAGAGACCAAGUUUAAGAAGACUUGCAAAGUGAAUGGAUCUUCAACAUCUUCUGCACUUCUUCCCAGCACAGCUCCUGCAAGAGCUCUCCGUUAGCUGCUCUCAUUUUCCUCUAUUCUUGCAUAUUGGUAACUUGUACUGAUCAGUUUCUUAGUGGUAUUGUCAGACUCAACAGGGUUAAUAGAAAAAUACACACACACAACACAAAACAACUCCAUUGCCAUCUCUCCUCUUCUCAUAUUUAGAAGGGAAGGGAACAGGAAUGAAAAUGCCAUAAUUAGUGCCUUGAUGCGUUCACUUAAUUUUUUGGCCAUAAUUUGGAUCUUGCAGUCACUGAAGUGUGCCCUCAAAUUAAAAUAUAAACAGG
Zonotrichia leucophrys gambelii is the source of this 1034-nucleotide long non-coding RNA. RefSeq lists it as uncharacterized. Lineage: Eukaryota; Metazoa; Chordata; Aves; Passeriformes; Passerellidae. The record is from RefSeq and is a predicted model, not a curated record. The transcript is spliced from 3 exons.